CUUGGUCAUUUAGAGGAAGUAAAAGUCGUAACAAGGUCUCCGUUGGUGAACCAGCGGAGGGAUCAUUACUGAGUUACCGCUCUAUAACCCUUUGUGAACAUACCUACAACUGUUGCUUCGGCGGGUAGGCCGUCCCCUGAAAAGGACGCCUCCCGGCCCGGACCGGACCCCCCGUGGGGCCGGGCUCGGCGCCCGCCGGAGGAUAACCAAACGCUAUUUUAACGACGUUUCUUCUGAGUGGCAUAAGCAAAAUAAUCAAAACUUUUAACAACGGAUCUCUUGGUUCUGGCAUCGAUGAAGAACGCAGCGAAAUGCGAUAAGUAAUGUGAAUUGCAGAAUUCAGUGAAUCAUCGAAUCUUUGAACGCACAUUGCGCCCGCCAGCAUUCUGGCGGGCAUGCCUGUUCGAGCGUCAUUUCAACCCUCAAGCUCUGCUUGGUGUUGGGGCUCUACGGUCGACGUAGGCCCUCAAAGGUAGUGGCGGACCCUCCCGGAGCCUCCUUUGCGUAGUAACAUUUCGUCUCGCACUGGGAUCCGGAGGGACUCUUGCCGUAAAACCCCCCAAUUUUUCAAGGUUGACCUCGGAUCAGGUAGGAAUACCCGCUGAACUUAAGCAUAUCAAUAAGCGGAGGA
Molecule: ribosomal RNA, 631 nt
Filed under: fungal endophyte sp. g57
Lineage: Eukaryota; Fungi
Description: eukaryotic LSU rRNA
Rfam family: 5.8S ribosomal RNA (bases 260-413)
Source: RNAcentral